Molecule: ribosomal RNA, 636 nt
Filed under: Blastomyces dermatitidis
Lineage: Eukaryota; Fungi; Ascomycota; Eurotiomycetes; Onygenales; Ajellomycetaceae
Description: eukaryotic LSU rRNA
Rfam family: Eukaryotic large subunit ribosomal RNA
Source: RNAcentral
UUGACCUCGGAUCAGGUAGGAAUACCCGCUGAACUUAAGCAUAUCAAUAAGCGGAGGAAAAGAAACCAACAGGGAUUGCCUCAGUAACGGCGAGUGAAGCGGCAAAAGCUCAAAUUUGAAAUCUGGCUCCUUUGGGGCCCGAGUUGUAAUUUGCAGAGGAUGCUUCGGGCGUGGCCGCGGUCUAAGUCCCCUGGAACGGGGCGUCGCAGAGGGUGAGAAUCCCGUCUUCGGCCGGCCGGCUUCGCCCAUGUGAAGCUCCUUCGACGAGUCGAGUUGUUUGGGAAUGCAGCUCUAAAUGGGUGGUAAAUUUCAUCUAAAGCUAAAUAUUGGUCGGAGACCGAUAGCGCACAAGUAGAGUGAUCGAAAGAUGAAAAGCACUUUGAAAAGAGAGUUAAACAGCAUGUGAAAUUGUUGAAAGGGAAGCGCUUGCGACCAGAGUCGGCCGUGGGGGUUCAGCGGGCAUUCGUUGCCCGUGCACUCCCCCACGGGCGGGCCAGCGUCGGUUUCGACGGCCGGUCAAAGGCCCCCGGAAUGUGUCGCCUCUCGGGGCGUCUUAUAGCCGGGGGUGCAAUGCGGCCAGUCGGGACCGAGGAACGCGCUUCGGCACGGACGCUGGCUUAAUGGUCGUAAGCGACC